GCAUAUCAAUAAGCGGAGGAAAAGAAACCAACAGGGAUUGCCCUAGUAACGGCGAGUGAAGCGGCAACAGCUCAAAUUUGAAAUCUGGCGCAAGCCCGAGUUGUAAUUUGUAGAGGAUGCUUCAGGGCAGCGGCCGGUCUAAGUUCCUUGGAACAGGACGUCAUAGAGGGUGAGAAUCCCGUAUGCGACCGGUUGGCACCCGUCACGUAGCUCCUUCGACGAGUCGAGUUGUUUGGGAAUGCAGCUCUAAAUGGGAGGUAAAUUUCUUCUAAAGCUAAAUACCGGCCAGAGACCGAUAGCGCACAAGUAGAGUGAUCGAAAGAUGAAAAGCACUUUGGAAAGAGAGUUAAAAAGCACGUGAAAUUGUUGAAAGGGAAGCGCAUGCUACCAGACUUGUCGGCGGUGUUCCGCCGGUCUUCUGACCGGUCUACUCGCCGCCGGCAGGCCCGCAUCACUUGGGGGCGCCGGAUAAAGGCGUCGGGAAUGUGGCUCCUCGGAGCGUUAUAGCCCGGCGCACAAUACGGCGAUUCCCGAGUGAGGUCCGCGCUUCGGCUAGGAUGCGGGCGUAAUGGUCGUUUGCGGCCCGUCUUGAAACACGGACCAAGGAGUCUACCAUCUAUGCGAGUGUUCGGGUGUUAAACCCCUACGCGGAAUGAAAGUGAACGGAGGUGGGAACUUUUUGUGCACCAUCGACCGAUCCUGAUGUCUUCGGAUGGAUUUGAGUAAGAGCAUAGCUGGUGGGACCCGAAAGAUGGUGAACUAUGCCUGAAUAGGGUGAAGCCAGAGGAAACUCUGGUGGAGGCUCGCAGCGGUUCUGACGUGCAAAUCGAUCGUCAAAUUUGGGUAUAGGGGCGAAAGACUAAUCGA
Molecule: ribosomal RNA, 867 nt
Filed under: Araucasphaeria foliorum
Lineage: Eukaryota; Fungi; Ascomycota; Dothideomycetes; Mycosphaerellales; Teratosphaeriaceae
Description: eukaryotic LSU rRNA
Rfam family: Eukaryotic large subunit ribosomal RNA
Source: RNAcentral